GAAGUGCGCCUCACUUUGACGCACGGCAGGGCACCUUUCUCAGGUGUCCGCUCUGUUGUGUAGUAAAUAGAUCUCUCAUACUCACUGCUGCUCAGAGGAGACCUCGCUCAUGGAGCGGUGACACACUUUCGUUUCCCAGCAUGCAGCAGGAGCUUUGGCUGAGGGCCCUUCUUGAUACCUGCGUGUGCAAUGAGAUCAGCCGCUGCGCAAACACUCCCGACAAGACCGACCGAACAAGAGCUCAAAAAUGCCUUAUCCAACAGCGCCACAGGACACAACCACCACAUCUCCAACUCCAGCAGACCAGCACAGUCCCGAACAAAGACGUCCACAGACACAGUUAAUUGUACUUCUUUGCAUCAUCAUGGCCAUAAUCGAGAAAAUGCAGAUCAAUGUGAUAUUGCCGAGGGCCCCUGGAACCUAAACAACCCGGUGAAAGCCUCAAGGAGCCACCAGGAGCUUCACAAAGAGCUGUUACUGGCCCACAAAAAAGGGCUGGUGGUGUGCUGUAAGCCGGAGCUUCAGACGGUUCUAGAGAGGAGGAAGAGAGAGCAGACCCAGAGGGAGGAGGGGGAGCAGAGCAGGAGUCCUCUGGAGCAGGUGCUUCUCCAGCGCCAGCAGAAACAUCAGGAGAUGAUGAAGGAGAAGGAAGAGGAGCAGAAGUUACGUGAGGAGGUUCAGCUCUUGGAGUUUGUGCGAGUGAGACAGAACCUGAAGAAAGUCCAUACAGCUCUACAGAAGAACAUUCACUCCUGAUCUGACUAAAGACGUACUUCAUUUGUCCAUGCAGCUUCAUUUUGAAAUAAGAUACACAGCGUUUCAUCAUAUCUAUUAUGAUCUUGUUGUUAACCUUUUUUCAUACAUUUUUAGUCUGUUACAGUUCACUACACUUUUCAUUUGUGUUCUGCAAUAAUUUAAUAAUGUAAAAAACAAAAAAAAACAAACAAAAAAAAAAACUAGCGUACAGAUAUCCAGAUAGUCAUAGUUCCCUCCAAAUACCAUUAUUACUUCCACAGUUAUUGUAAAACCAUACAAGUGAUUCACAAACUGUAAUAUUUUGCUGAGAGUGGUGGCCUGUACGAAGCUAGCAGUUUUAUUGCAGAAAACCGUAAUACUACAAAAAACUUAAGUAAAUACCACGAUUUUACCACGGUACAUGUUCAAACUGUGUGGUUUUCACAUCCAUUUUUGGUACUUUGUAAAGAAAAGAAAUAAAUCACGUAGUAUUUUUUUGUAAUGGGUUUAAAAGUAUUUAUAAAUGUCAGUAUUCUGAAAUCAAACCAGAAUGAACUAUUCAUAUUGUAUGGAAUAAACAUGGCUUUGAUUGAUAAAAUGAA
Ctenopharyngodon idella (grass carp) is the source of this 1337-nucleotide long non-coding RNA. RefSeq lists it as uncharacterized. The record is from RefSeq and is a predicted model, not a curated record. Lineage: Eukaryota; Metazoa; Chordata; Actinopteri; Cypriniformes; Xenocyprididae. The transcript is spliced from 5 exons.